CAGUAAGUAUUUUAUUAAAAUUUAAGUUUUGGGGAUUUAAGAUGUGUUUUUAACGCUUUACUGA
This 64-nucleotide transfer RNA is filed under the name Centrotus cornutus. RNAcentral describes it as "tRNA-Pro". The record is from RNAcentral. Lineage: Eukaryota; Metazoa; Arthropoda; Insecta; Hemiptera; Membracidae.